CUCGACCCCUACUCAUCCUACGCAACGCCCCUAAGACCUCAUCCACCCUAAUGCGCCUGCAGUACCCAAGGUCUCUAUGUCGCUCUGAAUGCUCCAGCUCCCCUAGCUCUAUGUUCCGAUCCCCCUCCUCGUUAAGAAGGUCCCGAAAGUACGCCUUCCACCUCUAUUUGAUUUACGAUUCCCCCAUCAGAACUCUACCAUCCUCGUCCUUGAUACACCUGGCUUGGUCUAGAUCACGAGCCUUCCUUUCCCUUACUUUUGCCAACCGGAAUAGCUUCUUAUCCCCACCUCUCUCCCCUAGUUCCUCAUAUAUGCGACCGAACGCCGCGUUUUUAGCUUCCGUGACUGCCAUCUUUGCUUCUUUUCUCGCCUCCUUGUAGAUCACCCUGUUAGCUCUCCGUUCCUCCUCGCUUGUGCUCCCUGCCUACCUAGCGAACGCCGCCUUCUCCUCCUCCACUUUUCCUUUGACUACAUCGUUCCACCACCAAUCACCCUGAUGUCUGCC
RNAcentral lists this long non-coding RNA (505 nucleotides) under Nicotiana benthamiana. Its description in RNAcentral is "long non-coding RNA (NBEN_LNC015859)". The record is from RNAcentral. Lineage: Eukaryota; Viridiplantae; Streptophyta; Magnoliopsida; Solanales; Solanaceae.